CUGCUUAAAACAAGAAAUCUGAGUCCAUGGCUGACUACAUAAUUUGCAGAGCUAAAUGGAGAAUGAAAAUGCAGAGCCCUUAUCCCCUGGGAGGAAAAAAAUGCUAUUAAAGGAAACUCAUUUACCCCAUCACAUGGCUUCAAAUACCACCAUGUGACAGUGAUGCGCUUGGAGUGACAUUACUGGAUCUGUUUCUCCUGUAUAAGAAAUGCUCCAGAGUCCAAACAUCAGAACGUGUAGUUUGUACAAACUCUGAACUUUGUGAUUUGAAAUGAAACCUCUAAACCAGUCUACUGGGGAGGAUGACGAAGGAACAGCGAGAGAGAGAAGACAGAAUCUUCGAACUUUUCAACAAAAUUGUUUCAACUGUCCUCAACAGUCCUUGGGAUCACCCUUGAUUUCUUCUUAACGUUUGAGCUUAUUGUUGAGGAAAUACUUCCUACUGUCGCCAAGAUGAACAUGCCCCACGUGGUUCGGAGAGAGCCCUCAUCGGCCUCUUGUCCAACUGCCAGUCUUCCCAUCCGUAGCCGGGCAUCUUUUUGUGACCACCACCUGUCACCCACUUUUCUCCAAAUGAGUUCAUUUGAAAUGGGUCGUGGAAGCCCACUCGCCACCCUUGCACCCUGUCACAAAGCGGGGCAAGAUCUUCUGCAGGCUCCCCACACCAGCUGACAUUUCACUACUUGAAGGCAGGUAGCAUCACCAUCAUCAGGAAACUUGGGGGUUGCCUUUUGUAGACAUUCUCCCAUACACUUCAAAAAAACCGUAGCAUCGUGCACCCAAGCUCCCAGUAGCGGAGAGGUAGAAACAACUUCAGUGCUUAUCAAGGGACGAGUGAAUAGACAAAAGGUGGUGUAUGCGUGCAAUGGAAUAUUAUUCAGCCUUGAAAAGGAAGAACAUUUUGAUGUAUGGUACAAGAGACACUGACAACGUUGUACUAAGUGAAAUAAGCCAGUCACAAAAGGAAAAUUAUGUACAAUUCCGUUUGUGUGGAAUAUCCAGAAGUAAAUCCCCAGAGACAGAGCAGGUUAGCUGGGUCUGAGGAAAAGGCAAAAUGACAGUUUGGGGACUUCCUGUUGGGGUAGUGAAAGUGUCUGCAACUAGCUAGAGGUGAUGGUUGCAUAACAUGGUGAAUGGACCAAAUGCCAUUAAACUGUAUGCUUUAAAAUGGUAAA
Molecule: long non-coding RNA, 1175 nt
Organism: Lynx canadensis (Canada lynx)
Lineage: Eukaryota; Metazoa; Chordata; Mammalia; Carnivora; Felidae
Exons: 4
Source: RefSeq, a predicted model, not a curated record